GGGUUGUGAGGUUAAGCGACUAAGCGUACACGGUGGAUGCCCUGGCAGUCAGAGGCGAUGAAGGACGUGCUAAUCUGCGAAAAGCGUCGGUAAGGUGAUAUGAACCGUUAUAACCGGCGAUGUCCGAAUGGGGAAACCCAGUGCAAUUCGUUGCACUAUCGUUAACUGAAUACAUAGGUUAACGAGGCGAACCGGGGGAACUGAAACAUCUAAGUACCCCGAGGAAAAGAAAUCAACCGAGAUUCCCCCAGUAGCGGCGAGCGAACGGGGAGCAGCCCAGAGUCUGAAUCAGCUUGUGUGUUAGUGGAACGGUCUGGAAAGUCCGACGGUACAGGGUGAUAGUCCCGUACACCAAAAUGCACAGGUUGUGAACUCGAAGAGUAGGGCGGGACACGUGGUAUCCUGUCUGAAUAUGGGGGGACCAUCCUCCAAGGCUAAAUACUCCUGACUGACCGAUAGUGAACCAGUACCGUGAGGGAAAGGCGAAAAGAACCCCGGCGAGGGGAGUGAAAAAGAACCUGAAACCGUGUACGUACAAGCAGUGGGAGCACCUUCGGGUGUGACUGCGUACCUUUUGUAUAAUGGGUCAGCGACUUAUAUUCUGUAGCAAGGUUAACCGUAUAGGGGAGCCGCAGGGAAACCGAGUCUUAACUGGGCGUUAAGUUGCAGGGUAUAGACCCGAAACCCGGUGAUCUAGCCAUGGGCAGGUUGAAGGUUGGGUAACACUAACUGGAGGACCGAACCGACUAAUGUUGAAAAAUUAGCGGAUGACUUGUGGCUGGGGGUGAAAGGCCAAUCAAACCGGGAGAUAGCUGGUUCUCCCCGAAAGCUAUUUAGGUAGCGCCUCGUGAACUCAUCUUCGGGGGUAGAGCACUGUUUCGGCUAGGGGGUCAUCCCGACUUACCAACCCGAUGCAAACUACGAAUACCGAAGAAUGUUAUCACGGGAGACACACGGCGGGUGCUAACGUCCGUCGUGAAGAGGGAAACAACCCAGACCGCCAGCUAAGGUCCCAAAGUCAUGGUUAAGUGGGAAACGAUGUGGGAAGGCACAGACAGCCAGGAUGUUGGCUUAGAAGCAGCCAUCAUUUAAAGAAAGCGUAAUAGCUCACUGGUCGAGUCGGCCUGCGCGGAAGAUGUAACGGGGCUAAACCAUGCACCGAAGCUGCGGCAGCGACACUAUGUGUUGUUGGGUAGGGGAGCGUUCUGUAAGCCUGCGAAGGUGACCUGUGAGGGUUGCUGGAGGUAUCAGAAGUGCGAAUGCUGACAUAAGUAACGAUAAAGCGGGUGAAAAGCCCGCUCGCCGGAAGACCAAGGGUUCCUGUCCAACGUUAAUCGGGGCAGGGUGAGUCGACCCCUAAGGCGAGGCCGAAAGGCGUAGUCGAUGGGAAACAGGUUAAUAUUCCUGUACUUGGUGUUACUGCGAAGGGGGGACGGAGAAGGCUAUGUUAGCCGGGCGACGGUUGUCCCGGUUUAAGCAUGUAGGCUGGUUGUCCAGGCAAAUCCGGAUAAUCAAGGCUGAGGUGUGAUGACGAGGCACUACGGUGCUGAAGUAACAAAUGCCCUGCUUCCAGGAAAAGCCUCUAAGCAUCAGGUAACAUCAAAUCGUACCCCAAACCGACACAGGUGGUCAGGUAGAGAAUACCAAGGCGCUUGAGAGAACUCGGGUGAAGGAACUAGGCAAAAUGGUGCCGUAACUUCGGGAGAAGGCACGCUGGUGUGUAGGUGAAGUCCCUGCGGAUGGAGCUGAGACCAGUCGAAGAUACCAGCUGGCUGCAACUGUUUAUUAAAAACACAGCACUGUGCAAACACGAAAGUGGACGUAUACGGUGUGACGCCUGCCCGGUGCCGGAAGGUUAAUUGAUGGGGUUAUCCGUAAGGAGAAGCUCUUGAUCGAAGCCCCGGUAAACGGCGGCCGUAACUAUAACGGUCCUAAGGUAGCGAAAUUCCUUGUCGGGUAAGUUCCGACCUGCACGAAUGGCGUAAUGAUGGCCAGGCUGUCUCCACCCGAGACUCAGUGAAAUUGAACUCGCUGUGAAGAUGCAGUGUACCCGCGGCAAGACGGAAAGACCCCGUGAACCUUUACUAUAGCUUGACACUGAACAUUGAGCCUUGAUGUGUAGGAUAGGUGGGAGGCUUUGAAGCGUGGACGCCAGUCUGCGUGGAGCCAACCUUGAAAUACCACCCUUUAAUGUUUGAUGUUCUAACGUUGGCCCCUUACCGGGGUUGCGGACAGUGUCUGGUGGGUAGUUUGACUGGGGCGGUCUCCUCCCAAAGCGUAACGGAGGAGCACGAAGGUUAGCUAAUCCUGGUCGGACAUCAGGAGGUUAGUGCAAUGGCAUAAGCUAGCUUGACUGCGAGCGUGACGGCGCGAGCAGGUGCGAAAGCAGGUCAUAGUGAUCCGGUGGUUCUGAAUGGAAGGGCCAUCGCUCAACGGAUAAAAGGUACUCCGGGGAUAACAGGCUGAUACCGCCCAAGAGUUCAUAUCGACGGCGGUGUUUGGCACCUCGAUGUCGGCUCAUCACAUCCUGGGGCUGAAGUAGGUCCCAAGGGUAUGGCUGUUCGCCAUUUAAAGUGGUACGCGAGCUGGGUUUAGAACGUCGUGAGACAGUUCGGUCCCUAUCUGCCGUGGGCGCUGGAGAAUUGAGGGGGGCUGCUCCUAGUACGAGAGGACCGGAGUGGACGCAUCACUGGUGUUCGGGUUGUCAUGCCAAUGGCA
RNAcentral lists this ribosomal RNA (2718 nucleotides) under Klebsiella pneumoniae. RNAcentral's name for it is "bacterial LSU rRNA". It matches the Rfam family "Bacterial large subunit ribosomal RNA". Lineage: Bacteria; Pseudomonadati; Pseudomonadota; Gammaproteobacteria; Enterobacterales; Enterobacteriaceae. The record is from RNAcentral.